GACACUCAAGAGGAUUAGGGGAAGAGAUUUUUCAUCAGAUUUUAUAGAAAAAAAGAGAAAAUUUUAGAAAAGUCACAGACGGCUGGAAAUUUCAUAAAGAGUCAUUGUUCCAUUUAUUUUCUUCUGUUAGUCUGGAGGUUUUGAAUUCCUGAAGCAAUCUCUAAUUCACAUGGGGUAGAAGUUGGUUUCAUUUGGUUUUUGAAAGCUGAUUCUGAGUUGAAUUUGUGUUUGGAGUAUUGUUUUAAUUUAAGUAUAGGGUUUCAAAAGUGGUUCAAAUGCUAUUUGAUGUUUCUAUCCUGUCGAUUCCGGGUUGACUCUGCUGCUGUUGUGAUUAACUUCUUAAUCUCCUUAUUUCCUUC
This 359-nucleotide long non-coding RNA is filed under the name Nicotiana benthamiana. RNAcentral describes it as "long non-coding RNA (NBEN_LNC042074)". The record is from RNAcentral. Lineage: Eukaryota; Viridiplantae; Streptophyta; Magnoliopsida; Solanales; Solanaceae.